GGAGCUUGAAACAAGGAGCUACUGCCCUCCCCCGGCCAAUUGGCCACAGAAUGAAUCAUCCAUUAAGAUACAGGAAAGUUCACCACAUUCUCAGAACAGAAGAUGCUGGCUGCUGGAAAACAAUGUCAGGAGGUCUUGUUGCGCCCCGUCUCCAGGACUAGAAGUCACUCGCCUUCCUUACUCUGCAAGGGGUUAUUAUGAGUGUAAAGAGACAAAACGAGGCUGAAGUGUUCAUUCUAAGGCGCCGUUAUUGUUAGAGCCAAACGACCAAUGUGGUUCACCUGACGCAAGCCUUACCUUCUGAGAAAGGGACGGGGCCUCGAAUCCGGAAGCCCAUCGCAGAGGUCUGGUGUUGAAGACUCAACUCUGAACCCUGAUGCUCACAGCAACGACUUCUGGCAAAACUGCCUAGCUUCGCCAUUCCAGGAAGCACCCACUUGAGCCAGCUGAUUGCAAUCACUUAUUGACCUUAAACUGGCCCAGUUUGGAGAGGGAUUUUGUCUGGGUCGGAAGAUAAAAGCAGCUUGCUUGGCUUUUUCGGAGCUUUUUCAGCUUGCCUACCUAUUGUAGCAAACAUUAAAAUAGCACCGGCUAUAUUACACAUCAACUGUAACUGCUGGGAUUACAGGCAUGAGCCACUGCGCCCAGCCUCUCUUUGCAUCUUUAUUUUUACAUCUGUAUUUGCUUGAAAUUUUCAUUGAUAAAAUAUAAGAAAUUCUUUGGAAAGAGUAUAA
Homo sapiens (human) is the source of this 734-nucleotide long non-coding RNA. Lineage: Eukaryota; Metazoa; Chordata; Mammalia; Primates; Hominidae. The record is from Ensembl.